Molecule: ribosomal RNA, 508 nt
Filed under: uncultured bacterium
Lineage: Bacteria
Description: SSU rRNA
Rfam family: Bacterial small subunit ribosomal RNA
Source: RNAcentral
AGGACGAACGCUGGCGGCGCGCUUAACACAUGCAAGUCGAGCGAGAACCCAGGCUUCGGUCUGGGGGAAAGCGGCGAACGGGUGAGUAACACGUGGGUAAUCUGCCCUCGACAUCGGGAUAGCCCGGGGAAACCCGGAUUAAUACCGAAUGGCCCAUCAGCUUUUCGAAGCGGAUGGAAAAGGUAGCUUCGGCCUCCGGUCGAGGAGGAGCCCGCGGCGGAUUAGCUUGUUGGUGAGGUAACGGCUCACCAAGGCUUCGAUCCGUAGCUGGUCUGAGAGGACGAUCAGCCACACUGGGACUGAGACACGGCCCAGACUCCUACGGGAGGCAGCAGUGGGGAAUCUUGCGCAAUGGGCGAAAGCCUGACGCAGCGACGCCGCGUGAGGGAAGAAGGCCUUCGGGUUGUAAACCUCUUUCAGGAGGGACGAAGCCACUCGGGUUAAUAGCCCAGAGGGUGACGGUACCUCCAGAAGAAGCCCCGGCUAACUACGUGCCAGCAGCCGCGGU